AACCUCCGCAAUGUGAGAAAUCGCGACGGGGGGAUCCCAAGUGCCAUUCUUAACGGGAUGGCUUUUCAUUAGUGUAAAGAGCUUUUGGAAUAAGGGCUGGGCAAGACCGGUGCCAGCCGCCGCGGUAACACCGGCAGCUCUAGUGGUAGCAGUUUUUAUUGGGCCUAAAGCGUCCGUAGCCGGUUUAAUAAGUCUCUGGUGAAAUCCUGUAGCUUAACUGUGGGAAUUGCUGGAGAUACUAUUAGACUUGAGACCGGGAGAGGUUAGAGGUACUCCCAGGGUAGAGGUGAAAUUCUGUAAUCCUGGGAGGACCGCCUGUUGCGAAGGCGUCUAACUGGAACGGUUCUGACGGUGAGGGACGAAAGUUAGGGGCGCGAACCGGAUUAGAUACCCGGGUAGUCCUAACUGUAAACGAUGCGGAAUUGGUGUUGGGGUGGCUUUGAGCUGCUCCAGUGCCGAAGGGAAGCUGUUAAGUCCGCCGCCUGGGAAGUACGGUCGCAAGGCUGAAACUUAAAGGAAUU
This 521-nucleotide ribosomal RNA is filed under the name uncultured bacterium. RNAcentral describes it as "bacterial SSU rRNA". It matches the Rfam family "Archaeal small subunit ribosomal RNA", at positions 345 to 866 of the family's 1478-position model. The record is from RNAcentral.